Molecule: unclassified non-coding RNA, 240 nt
Filed under: soil metagenome
Description: partial contains 5.8S ribosomal RNA, internal transcribed spacer 2, and large subunit ribosomal RNA
Source: RNAcentral
AACGGUCUAUACCUGCGGUACCUGCGGAGGGAUCAUUACUGAGUGUUGAUCUGUUUUUAACGGAUCGCCUCCCACCCUUUGUUUAUCAAAACCUGUUGCUUCGGCGUUUCGAUUCUAAAAUCUUUUUUGUCAAAAAGAAAAGAUUUUGAACCGUUGGCUUUCUUUUGAAAAGCGAAUGUGUUAUUCGCCGAAGGACUUUUUUAUAUACUCUUUGUUUUUGAAGUUGUCUGAGUUUUUGAA